This 22-nucleotide microRNA is filed under the name Gyrodactylus salaris (gyrodactylosis fluke). Its description in RNAcentral is "gsa-miR-9398-3p". Lineage: Eukaryota; Metazoa; Platyhelminthes; Monogenea; Gyrodactylidea; Gyrodactylidae. The record is from miRBase by way of RNAcentral.
AUUAGAUUGGAGAUGGCUUCUU